GUAAUACUUAGGAAUCUACCUAGUAGUGGGGGAUAGCUCGGGGAAACUCGAAUUAAUACCGCAUACGACCUACGGGAGAAAGGGGGCAACUUGUUGCUCUCGCUAUUAGAUGAGCCUAAGUCGGAUUAGCUAGAUGGUGGGGUAAAGGCCUACCAUGGCGACGAUCUGUAGCUGGUCUGAGAGGAUGAUCAGCCACACCGGGACUGAGACACGGCCCGGACUCCUACGGGAGGCAGCAGUGGGGAAUAUUGGACAAUGGGGGAAACCCUGAUCCAGCCAUGCCGCGUGUGUGAAGAAGGCCUUUUGGUUGUAAAGCACUUUAAGCAGUGAAGAAGACUCUUCGGUUAAUACCCGGAGACGAUGACAUUAGCUGCAGAGUAAGCACCGGCUAACUCUGUGCCAGCAGCCGCGGUAAUACAGAGGGUGCAAGCGUUAAUCGGAAUUACUGGGCGUAAAGCGAGCGUAGGUGGCUUGAUAAGUCAGAUGUGAAAUCCCCGGGCUUAACCUGGGAACUGCAUCUGAUACUGUCAGGCUAGAGUAGGUGAGAGGAAGGUAGAAUUCCAGGUGUAGCGGUGAAAUGCGUAGAGAUCUGGAGGAAUACCGAUGGCGAAGGCAGCCUUCUGGCAUCAUACUGACACUGAGGCU
Molecule: ribosomal RNA, 645 nt
Filed under: uncultured bacterium
Lineage: Bacteria
Description: bacterial SSU rRNA
Rfam family: Bacterial small subunit ribosomal RNA
Source: RNAcentral